This is a long non-coding RNA of Motacilla alba alba, 730 nucleotides long. RefSeq lists it as uncharacterized. The transcript has 4 exons. The record is from RefSeq and is a predicted model, not a curated record. Lineage: Eukaryota; Metazoa; Chordata; Aves; Passeriformes; Motacillidae.
AGAGAAGGCUGUGUCCCUGCUGUUCUCCAUCUCGUUGCUCAAUAAGCCUCUCUGGAUUAAGCAGGCUGCUCCUCUUGGUCUGCCGACAACCCCAUGACCUGAGUAGUCACCAGGGCUUCGAGGAAAGAAGCUCCCAGACACCCAGGGACUGGCAGAAGCCCACCAGCCCCUCUGAAGACCCUUCCUGUUUUGCUCUGUUUCUCAGGAUCCUUUUACUACGUCUUCAAAUGUGUAGGAUUAUUUUGUGCAAGAAACUCAGCUCCAGUGAGAACACAAUCCUAACAUGAGCAAAGAAAUCUAAAAGAUAAGGCUGCUACAGAAAUUAAAGCGUGAUGAAAGGCUAUUUACAGGCUUUGGCCUUGAUGUUGCAAGACACACACUGCAUUUCAAGCACCUCCAUCAAGAAGAAAAUUGUCAAAAGCCUUAAAGCAAAGGCACUCCUCACAACUUCACACUUCCAAGUCUGGAAAUGCUGGACUCGUCGUUUCCGUGGGAUUUACGGUGCAACCGUAUGCAAGUCACCGGCGUUUGAAGGAGUGUCCCUUGUGCAGCGCUAAGGCAAGCGAAGGGUUCGUCUGUGUGCCCGUCAGUUGCACUCACCGAGCGCGACCUCACGGGCAAGGAGCAGGCGCUGGCACAUGCCGCACCCAUUCCGGGACGGGACAGGCCAGCGCUGCUCCAGGGCCUUUUCCAGCAAAAAGGACGAGAGAAUAAUCGGUAUUCCCCAAAA